This 231-nucleotide ribosomal RNA is filed under the name uncultured eukaryote. RNAcentral's name for it is "partial 18S ribosomal RNA". It matches the Rfam family "Eukaryotic small subunit ribosomal RNA", at positions 1299 to 1476 of the family's 1831-position model. The record is from RNAcentral.
UCGUGGAGUGAUCUGUCUGCUUAAUUGCGUUUCAGAUAUAUAAAGGUAAGUUUAUAUUGUGAGGUAUAUUGUCUUUACUUCGGUAGGGCUAUACUGAGCAGACUACCUUUUGAAAGCAACGAACGUGACCUCAGCUCAAUGUUAUCUCUUAAAAGAGACCAACUUUGAGGACCGCCAGAGUUGUCAACUCGGAGGAAGGUUGAGGCAAUAAUAGGUCUGUGAUGCCCUUAG